This 819-nucleotide ribosomal RNA is filed under the name uncultured eukaryote. Its description in RNAcentral is "SSU rRNA". It matches the Rfam family "Eukaryotic small subunit ribosomal RNA", at positions 629 to 1426 of the family's 1831-position model. The record is from RNAcentral.
CGGUGUUUAACUGGCGUGAUGUGGGACGUCCUACCGGUGGGCUUAGCCUCGCGAGGGGCGGCCCAACUAAUAUCCCGUCGCGGUGCUCUUUACUGAGUGUAGAGUCGGGCCGGUACGUUUACUUUGAACAAAUUAGAGUGCUUAAAGCGGGCUAUCCUCGCCUGAAUACUGCGUGCAUGGAAUAAUGGAAUAAGACCUCGGUUCUAUUUUGUUGGUUUUCGGAACCCCGAGGUAAUGAUUAAUAGGGACAGAGGGGGGCAUUCGUAUUGUGACGUUAGAGGUGAAAUUCUUGGAUCGUCGCAAGACGGACAGAAGCGAAAGCAUUUGCCAAAAAUGUUUUCAUUAAUCAAGAACGAAAGUUAGAGGUUCGAAGGCGAUCAGAUACCGCCCUAGUUCUAACCAUAAACGAUGCCAGCUAGCGAUCCGCCGAAGUUCCUCCGAUGACUCGGCGGGCAGCUUCCGGGAAACCAAAGCUUUUGGGUUCCGGGGGAAGUAUGGUUGCAAAGCUGAAACUUAAAGGAAUUGACGGAAGGGCACCACCAGGAGUGGAGCCUGCGGCUUAAUUUGACUCAACACGGGAAACCUCACCAGGCCCAGACACCGGAAGGAUUGACAGAUUGAUAGCUCUUUCUUGAUUCGGUGGGUGGUGGUGCAUGGCCGUUCUUAGUUGGUGGAGCGAUUUGUCUGGUUAAUUCCGAUAACGAACGAGACUCUAGCCUGCUAAAUAGGCGUACCUUAUGGUAUCGCGAAGGCCCCCGGCUUCGGCCGGUGGGUUUUUACUACCAACGUACAAACAAAUCUUCUUAGAGGGACAGGCGG